CCUACGGGCGGCAGCAGUGGGGGAUAUUGGGCAAUGGAGGCAACUCUUACCCAGCAAUGCCGCGUGAAUGAAGAAGGUCUUCGGAUUGUAAAGUUCGUUAAUUGGGGACGAAAAAAAUGACGGUACCCAAGGAAUAAGCCCCGGCUAACUACGUGCGAGCAGCCGCGGUAAUACGUAGGGGGCAAGCGGUGUUCGGGAUGACUGGGCGUAAAGGGUGUGUAGGCGGUGUAGCAAGUUAGAGGUGAAAUACCUAGAGCUUAACUCAGGUGCUGCUUCUAAAACUGCUAUACUUGAGUGCAGUAGAGGAGAGUGGGAAUCCUAGUGUAGCGGUGGAAUGCGUAGAUAUUAGGAGGGACAUCAGUGGCGAAGGCGACUUUCUGGACUGUAACUGACGCUGCGGCACGAAAGUGUGGGGAGCAAACCGGAUUAGAUACCCUAGUAGUC
Molecule: ribosomal RNA, 444 nt
Filed under: uncultured bacterium
Lineage: Bacteria
Description: partial 16S ribosomal RNA
Rfam family: Bacterial small subunit ribosomal RNA
Source: RNAcentral